GUCCAUGAUACCCACUCCCUGAAAGAUUGUAUGGGAUUUUUUUUUUGUUUAAAUCUUUGAGAUUUAUUUCAUUGCACUUGUUUUUAGAAUUUCUGGAGUUUGAAAGGUUUCUUGGGACAACUUUCUGUAGGAAUGAAAGGUCACUGGGUUUGGUUGGAUUCUGUAAGUUAUAUCAGGAUAAUGAACCUCUAGACUUUGUUCCUCCAGUUGAUGAGGUUUAGUCAAACCAAUGUUUCUAUCCUUAUUUUGUGAAUGACUGAGAUGCAAGAUAACCUGAUGAGAAGAUGGUAGAGGUCAGAGUCAUCAAUUUGUCCACCAGCUGGUGAGGAUAUGACAGUUAACCCAAUACUUCCCAUUAAGGGAGUUAGGAAAGAGAAUGAUUCAUGAGUUCAGAACCAAAGUAUGUCAAUCCUGUUGUCUUAGGAAGUAAAAUAUCAAGCCAAUGAAUUAAAGACAAUUCUUUUGAGAAAGCACUUACGAUUCCAAAUGAAUGCCUAAGCAAUAACUAAGAUCCCUUUUGGCUUUAUGUAUUCAUUAUUUGCUUACUCUGCACCUAGCACUUGGCUCCUUGGGACUCACAAAGAUGAAUCAGAC
Molecule: long non-coding RNA, 594 nt
Filed under: Marmota monax (woodchuck)
Lineage: Eukaryota; Metazoa; Chordata; Mammalia; Rodentia; Sciuridae
Source: RNAcentral